Molecule: ribosomal RNA, 460 nt
Filed under: uncultured bacterium
Lineage: Bacteria
Description: partial 16S ribosomal RNA
Rfam family: Bacterial small subunit ribosomal RNA
Source: RNAcentral
CCUACGGGAGGCUGCAGUGAGGAAUAUUGGUCAAUGGACGAGAGUCUGAACCAGCCAAGUAGCGUGAAGGAUGACUGCCCUAUGGGUUGUAAACUUCUUUUAUAUGGGAAUAAAAUGUUCCACGUGUGGGAUUUUGUAUGUACCAUAUGAAUAAGGAUCGGCUAACUCCGUGCCAUCAGCCGCGGUAAUACGGAGGAUCCGAGCGUUAUCCGGAUUUAUUGGGUUUAAAGGGAGCGUAGGUGGAUUGUUAAGUCAGUUGUGAAAGUUUGCGGCUCAACCGUAAAAUUGCAGUUGAAACUGGCAGUCUUGAGUACAGUAGAGGUGGGCGGAAUUCGUGGUGUAGCGGUGAAAUGCUUAGAUAGCACGAAGAACUCCGAUUGCGAAGGCAGCUCACUGGACUGCAACUGACACUGAGGCUCGAAAGUGUGGGUAUCAAACAGGAUUAGAUACCCUUGUAGUC